AGAGUUUGAUUCUGGCUCAGGAUGAACGCUAGCUACAGGCUUAACACAUGCAAGUCGAGGGGCAGCAUGGAGUCAGCUUGCUGACUCUGAUGGCGACCGGCGCACGGGUGAGUAACGCGUAUCCUACCUUCCCUAUAGUAAGGGAUAGCCCGGCCAAAGUCGGAUUAAUACCCUAUGUUUUCCGAUGCAGGCAUCUAAAAGGGAACAAAGGCUUGCCGCUAUAGGAUGGGGAUGCAUCUGAUUAGCUUGAUGGCGGGGUAACGGCCCACCAUGGAAUCGAUCGGUAUGGGUUCUGAAAGGAAGGUCCCCCACAUUGGAACUGAGACACGGUCCAAACUCCUACGGGAGGCAGCAGAGAGGAAUAUUGGUCAAUGGCCGCUAGGCUGAACCAGCCAAGUACCGUGCAGGAUGACGGCCCUAUGGGUUGUAAACUGCUUUUAUGCCGGGAUAAAGUGACGUAGCGUGUGCAUUUUUGCAGGUACCGCAUGAAUAAGCACCGGCUAAUUCCGUGCCAGCAGCCGCGGUAAUACGGGAGGUCCGGGCGUUAUCCGGAUUUAUUGGGUUUAAAGGGAGCGCAGGCGGGCGUUUAAGUGUGACGUGAAAUGUAGCCGCUCAACGGCUGAACUGCCUCGCGAACUGUAUGCCUUGAGUGAGUACGCCGCGGACGGAAUUAGUGGUGUAGCGGUGAAAUGCUUAGAUAUCACGAGGAACCCCGAUUGCGAAGGCAUUCCGCGAGUCCUUUACUGACGCUGAAGCUCGAAGGUGCGGGUAUCGAACAGGAUUAGAUACCCUGGUAGUCCGCACGGUAAACGA
Molecule: ribosomal RNA, 813 nt
Filed under: uncultured bacterium
Lineage: Bacteria
Description: bacterial SSU rRNA
Rfam family: Bacterial small subunit ribosomal RNA
Source: RNAcentral